RNAcentral lists this ribosomal RNA (425 nucleotides) under uncultured bacterium. Its description in RNAcentral is "partial 16S ribosomal RNA". It matches the Rfam family "Bacterial small subunit ribosomal RNA", at positions 354 to 796 of the family's 1533-position model. The record is from RNAcentral.
GUGGGGGAUAUUGCACAAUGGGGGAAACCCUGAUGCAGCGACGCCGCGUGAAGGAAGACGUACUUCGGUAUGUAAACUUCUAUCAGCAGGGAAGAAGAUGACGGUACCUGACUAAGAAGCCCCGGCUAACUACGUGCCAGCAGCCGCGGUAAUACGUAGGGGGCAAGCGUUAUCCGGAUUUACUGGGUGUAAAGGGAGCGUAGACGGUGAAGCAAGUCUGAUGUGAAAACCCGGGGCUCAACUCCGGGAUUGCAUUGGAAACUGUUUUACUUGAGUGCUGGAGGGGCAAGCGGAAUUCCUGGUGUAGCGGUGAAAUGCGUAGAUAUCAGGAAGAACACCGGUGGCGAAGGCGGCUUGCUGGACAGUAACUGACGUUGAGGCUCGAAAGCGUGGGGAGCAAACAAGAUUAGAUACCCUGGUAGUCC